This is a long non-coding RNA of Chelonia mydas (Green sea turtle), 1035 nucleotides long. RefSeq lists it as uncharacterized. The transcript has 2 exons. NCBI's taxonomy places the organism in Eukaryota, Metazoa, Chordata, Testudines, Cheloniidae. The record is from RefSeq and is a predicted model, not a curated record.
GGCUUUCCAUCGCCAACUGCAAUCUUGUCCUGUAGCAAAUAUUUAAUUGCCUUGAUCUUUGCCACCGAUAGCGAAAUCCUGGAUUUCUCCCUCCCCCCUUUGGUGCAGUCGGACUGAUAGAUACCAGCUGGGUGGAAGCCAUCUUGUGGGCUGGGUGGAGUACCAGGGGAGAAAACACAUUUCUUUAAAAGCCUGGUAUUCUCGCCUGGGAAACUUUUCUCUCUCCCCCCCCCCCCCCCCGCUCCCCAAUAUAAGAGACCGUGGGCAAUCAGCCACCUGCCAGACCCCGGGAUAUGAUGCUGAUCUUUACCUGCUGCUUUGGAGCUAAUCAGCUUUUAUGAAAGAAUUCCUAGCAGAAACCUAAUCGCUUGCCCCAGUGGUCAACACAGAUGAGAAAGCCAGCCCCGGUUUUAAUACUGCCCUUUGUAGUUUAUCUAUAGGUAGGACGGAGUACGUGUAGCUUGUGUAUAUAUUUAAAUACGUGGCUACACUUAUUUUCACACUCACUUUAGAACACAAUCGUGGUUGGUUUCAUGUGGAAAAGAACCCCUUCCCCUAGCUGUUUUCUAAACUGGGGUUUAUUUAUUGCGCUCAAACCAGUGGGACGGUAGCAAUGUGCCAGCCUGGCUCUUCAGAAACUUUUUCUUUUGGAUAGUUUUUAGAACGAUCUAUUCCUUUUUGUUUUAAGCGAUUCAUAGUCCUAGGAAGCCUUUGAAAUCUACCAACUAGUAACACCUCCUUCAUGUAGAAACGUUACAGUAUAUAAAAGGCUUAAGUGAAGCACUCGGCUGCUGCUUUUUUUAAAAAAAAAAAAGAUAAAGCUUUCAUCUAGAAGAUCAAAGGCUCCCCCCCCUUGUUUUUUUUGCUUGUAAGGUUGAGAAUUUGAACCCAAGCGCUAGUUACAAUGAUUUUAGUUCUUAUAGAAUUUUCUCCCCCAAUGUGGUCCUGGUGAUUUGCUCAGAAAUAUAUGGCCUUGGGUUUAUUUGUCUUUGUUUCUUUCUGAACGUUAAGUCUAAUUAAAAAAACAAAAACGGA